AGGAUAAACGCUGGCGGCGUGCCUAACACAUGCAAGUCGAACGUCCUUUCCCGCAAGGGGAAGGGAGUGGCGGACGGGUGAGUAUCACGUGGGUUAUCUGCCUUUAGGUGAGGAAUACCGGCGAGAAAUCGCCGACAAUACCGCAUAUCUUUCGUAAGAAAGAAAGCCUCGUAAGAGGUGCCUGAGGAGGAGCCUGCGCCCGAUUAGUUGGUUGGUGGGGUAAUGGCCUACCAAGACGACGACGGGUAG
This 249-nucleotide ribosomal RNA is filed under the name uncultured bacterium. Its description in RNAcentral is "partial small subunit ribosomal RNA". It matches the Rfam family "Bacterial small subunit ribosomal RNA", at positions 26 to 286 of the family's 1533-position model. The record is from RNAcentral.